UACGAAGGGUGCAAGCGUUACUCGGAAUUACUGGGCGUAAAGCGUGCGUAGGCGGUUUGUUAAGUCUGCUGUGAAAGCCCUGGGCUCAACCUGGGAACUGCAGUGGAUACUGGCGAGCUAGAGUGUGUCAGAGGAUGGUGGAAUUCCCGGUGUAGCGGUGAAAUGCGUAGAGAUCGGGAGGAACACCAGUGGCGAAGGCGGCCAUCUGGGACAACACUGACGCUGAGGCACGAAAGCGUGGGGAGCAAACAGGAUUAGAUACCCCGGUAGUCC
RNAcentral lists this ribosomal RNA (273 nucleotides) under uncultured bacterium. RNAcentral describes it as "partial 16S ribosomal RNA". It matches the Rfam family "Bacterial small subunit ribosomal RNA", at positions 524 to 796 of the family's 1533-position model. The record is from RNAcentral.